GGAAAGGUGACAUCAAUAAGGGAUCAUAACUUUUACCUGGAUUCACCUAGUCAGUCUAUGUCAUAGAAAAAGCAGGUGUGUUUGGCACACUCAGUGUAUAUAAUAUACUGGCCAUUACUUGAACUUUUACAUUCAGGUUUGUGUAUGGUCCAUCUUUAGCUCACACUAACACUUGGUAAGGAAGUUCAGUGUGUAUCCAUCUCUAACACUCAUGGUGUGACGAAGCUGAGCCCAGCACCACACUGCUCUAAUGGUUACUGUGACAUAUUUAUGGCAGUGCGCAGGGCCUGAGAGAGAUAAGGGAUGAAGAGGAAAGUGUUUGGGGGAGACAGUGACUGUAGGACCGUUAGGACCAGGGGUUCCACUUAAAAUUGUCUCCUCUGUUUCCCCAUAGGCUGACAUUGAAGAGGGUGGGAUACAAGACAUCAUCAGAGCUGCCGGGGGUCAGCUCCCUGGGCCAGUAAUGGAGAGGGUUCUCCAUGAGAAUGGACUGGAAGGUCGAUCAGUGCUGGGGAUGGUUACAGUGCAAGUGGAGAGGGAUUCAAAGACAGGGGUCACCAAGAUCAGGUCUGUGGUGCCCGUGUCUGGAGCACCCAGGGCCUUGGGGGAGACGGUGUUCAAUGACAGCAGGAAGAGCGUCCACCACGUCGGCGGGGCAGAGGGGCAGCCUUCUGCUGAGGAGCUGGGACAGCUCCUUAGUGUCAUCAACGAUGUCGGGAUGCAAGUGCUGCUGGAUGAGAUCCCAGUUGUACCACAACAGAAGGCAGAGGAGAAGAUAGAGGUUGGUGGUGGGAUGGAAAAGGAGGUGGACAAUGUGGAGGACCCUGCCGCACCUACAACCCUGGGCUACACUGAGGAAGAGGUUGAGGUUGUGGGGUAUGAGGAUGAUGAGAUGGACGAGGAGAUAGAAAUAGGAGUGGUGGAAAUUGUGGAGGGCCCUAUCCGAACGACCGACCUGGGCUACACUGAGGAAACGGUUGAGGAUCUGGGCUAUGAGGAUGAUGAGAUGGACAAGGAGACAGGAGUAGGUCAGGUAGACCUUGUGGAGGGCACUGUCACACUGACCUUCCUGGGCUACACUGAGGUAAAGUCAGAGAGCGAGGGUCUGGGCCAUGAGGAUGAUAGAGAGUUGGUGGAGGUGGAGAGGGUGAUCAUUUCUGACGCAGGUGAGGAGGAGAUUGUUCUUCAGUCUGAGACUGAACCCUUCCUGGGCUACACUGAGCAAGAGGUUGAGGCUGUGGUGCAUGAGGAUGAUGAGGAGGACGUGAGUGGAUUGGUUGUCUUUGUGGAGGGCCCUGUCCCACCUGUCAUCCUGGGCUACACUCAGGAAGAGGUUGAGGAUCUGGGACAUGAGGAUGAUCCCCCCAGACCAACCCCACGCUACAGAGCCGAGGAAACAGGAAAGAGGGCAUCCAAACACAAUAACAAGUGCUGCUCUAUCAUGUGAUUCUGCACAUGAUAGAGCAUCACCCCCCCAUUCCUCUAAGCUGUGCCACUCAUGAUGAAUGGUCUGUAUGUGUGACCUAAAUCUACAACAUUGUCUAAAUUGCACAGGAUUUGCUCCAGAGAAGCGUGUCUUUGCUCCUCAUCUAAAAUGUCACUGGUAUCCUCUGAGACUACAGUCCCACAUGGCUUGUGUCAAGGAGUGUUUACUGUUAUCCUCCUCUCUUCAAACAGCACUGUGAACAGACUCCAGUGUGACUGUUACAAAGCCCUUCUGCCUCCUGCUGGACACAGUUCAGUAAUGCGACUAGGUUUUACUGCCAGAAUCCCAGCAGCACUCAUCUCACACUCCUCUGGAUUGGUUGUAUCAGCCCAAAAAACGUACUCCGCAUUAUGUCCUCUAGGAAUGAACCAAAGAUGAAGAAUACAGCAACCACUGAUCAGUUUCUUUUUGGAAAUAGAUUUUUAAAUAUUAAUCUCAGAAAUGCCCGAUGUGCCUAUUUCAAUGGCAACUAACCCUUUUGUUCUCUACUUUUAGAGUGUCCUCAUCAGUAAUACAAAUGUUAUGGUUAUGAAUAUCAUAUUGUAUUCCGUCAGUGACCAAAACAGUCUGUUAAAGAAGGGUUGGUUGCCAUUACAUCUAUUCAGUGCGAUUUGUAUGUGUAAGUGUGUUUGGUAGUUGAAUUUUGAUUUAGCCAUGUCUGUUAAUUAAUGAAGGUGGAUAAAAAAAACUGGAAUGUGUGUGAUUAUCAAAACACAAUAUAUUUC
This is a long non-coding RNA of Oncorhynchus tshawytscha (Chinook salmon), 2211 nucleotides long. Lineage: Eukaryota; Metazoa; Chordata; Actinopteri; Salmoniformes; Salmonidae. The record is from Ensembl.